Long non-coding RNA from Juglans regia (Persian walnut), 614 nucleotides. RefSeq lists it as uncharacterized. NCBI's taxonomy places the organism in Eukaryota, Viridiplantae, Streptophyta, Magnoliopsida, Fagales, Juglandaceae. The record is from RefSeq and is a predicted model, not a curated record. The transcript is spliced from 2 exons.
AGACUCCCCCCUUUCUCUCGUUUUCAUUUCUCUUGAUUUCGAAAAAGUUGAGUUUUGGACUGGUUUCUCUCUUGCUUUCAUUUCUUUUACAGUUUCAUCCAUCAUCUCUUCGUUUCAUUUCUUUUACAAUUUUGUCCAUCAUCUAUUCGAUUGGUUUCUCUCUUGAUUUCGUUUCUUUUACACUUUCGUCUAUCUUGGUUUCGAAAAAGUUUUGGUUUUGUUUCUCUCCCGCUCAUAUCGUAGCAAAGUCUCAGAUUUGUGUCGCUUACCGUCGUUGUUGAUCAGUUGCAGCAACCCACGCCAUCCUCGGCUGCUACCCACAUUUCGGCAUCGAACUUGGUAAAGCAAAAAAGAAUGCUAGUUGAGAUGGUGCAACAACAACGUAAAGUAGAGCUGGGAAUCUAAAAAUGAUGUUCUGUUGGGGUGAUUUUGUAUAAGCUGAAGAUGCAUUUCUUUUUGUAUUUGGGAGUGAUUGUAGGAAGGUGAAGUUGCAUUUCUUUUAUGUAUUUGGGAGUGGGUUGACUAAAGAAACUUGUUGAACUCAUGAACUCUGUCACUCUUGUUCAGAAAAAUAUUUUUAUAUAUUUUAUGAAAAAAUAUCUGCACAAUGGCUA